GACGAACGCUGGCGGCGUGCCUAAUACAUGCAAGUCGAGGGGCAGCAGGGAUAGCAAUAUUCGCUGGCGACCGGCGCACGGGUGCGUAACACGUAUACAAUCUGCCUUUUACAGGGGGAUAGCCUUUCGAAAGAGAGAUUAAUACCCCAUAAUAGUUGACCGGGCAUCUGGUUGAUUUGAAAGCUCCGGCGGUAAGAGAUGAGUAUGCGCCUGAUUAGCUAGUAGGUGAGGUAACGGCUCACCUAGGCUACGAUCAGUAGGGGAUCUGAGAGGACUAACCCCCACACGGAUACUGAGACACGGAUCCGACUCCUACGGGAGGCAGCAGUAAGGAAUAUUGGACAAUGCCCGCAAGGGUGAUCCAGCCAUGCCGCGUGCAGGAAGAAGGCCCUAUGGGUCGUAAACUGCUUUUACACCGGAGAAAACCUCCCUCGUGAGGGGAGCUGAUAGUAUGGUGAGAAUAAGCAUCGGCUAACUUCGUGCCAGCA
This 488-nucleotide ribosomal RNA is filed under the name uncultured bacterium. Its description in RNAcentral is "bacterial SSU rRNA". It matches the Rfam family "Bacterial small subunit ribosomal RNA", at positions 28 to 513 of the family's 1533-position model. The record is from RNAcentral.